Molecule: non-coding RNA, 27 nt
Filed under: Drosophila melanogaster (fruit fly)
Lineage: Eukaryota; Metazoa; Arthropoda; Insecta; Diptera; Drosophilidae
Source: RNAcentral
UGACAUUCUUCCCUGAUAUCCUGAGCA